RNAcentral lists this ribosomal RNA (584 nucleotides) under uncultured bacterium. RNAcentral describes it as "partial 16S ribosomal RNA". It matches the Rfam family "Bacterial small subunit ribosomal RNA", at positions 355 to 1375 of the family's 1533-position model. The record is from RNAcentral.
UGGGGAAUUUUGGACAAUGGGCGAAAGCCUGAUCCAGCAAUGCCGCGUGUGUGAAGAAGGCCUUCGGGUUGUAAAGCACUUUUGUCCGGAAAGAAAUCCUCUGGGUUAAUACCUCGGGGGGAUGACGGUACCGGAAGAAUAAGCACCGGCUAACUACGUGCCAGCAGCCGCGGUAAUACGUAGGGUGCAAGCGUUAAUCGGAAUUACUGGGCGUAAAGCGUGCGCAGGCGGUUUUGUAAGACGGAUGUGAAAUCCCCGGGCUUAACCUGGGAACUGCAUUCGUGACUGCAAGGCUAGAGUAUGGCAGAGGGGGGUAGAAUUCCACGUGUAGCAGUGAAAUGCGUAGAGAUGUGGAGGAAUACCGAUGGCGAAGGCAGCCCCCUGGGCCAAUACUGACGCUCAUGCACGAAAGCGUGGGGAGCAAACAGGAUUAGAUACCCUGGUAGUCCACGCCCUAAACGAUGUCAACUAGUUGUUGGGGAUUCAUUUCCUAGUAACGUAGCUAACGCGUGAAGUUGACCGCCUGGGGAGUACGGUCGCAAGAUUAAAACUCAAAUGAAUUGACGGGGUCAUAGCUGUUUCCU